This 254-nucleotide ribosomal RNA is filed under the name uncultured bacterium. Its description in RNAcentral is "partial 16S ribosomal RNA". It matches the Rfam family "Bacterial small subunit ribosomal RNA", at positions 524 to 776 of the family's 1533-position model. The record is from RNAcentral.
UACGUAGGGUCCAAGCGUUAUCCGGAAUCACUGGGCGUAAAGCGUUUGUAGGCGGAAAUUUAAGUGAGAUGCGAAAUCUAGUGGCUCAACCACUUAGACUGUAUCUCAUACUGGGUUUCUAGAAUAUAGCAGAGGCAAGUGGAAUUAGUAGUGUAGCGGUAAAAUGCGUAGAUAUUACUAGGAACACCAAUGGCGAAGGCAGCUUGCUGGGCUAUUAUUGACGCUGAGAAACGAAAGCGUGGGGAGCGAACAGG